RNAcentral lists this ribosomal RNA (230 nucleotides) under uncultured bacterium. RNAcentral describes it as "partial 16S ribosomal RNA". It matches the Rfam family "Bacterial small subunit ribosomal RNA", at positions 562 to 791 of the family's 1533-position model. The record is from RNAcentral.
AAAGAGUACGUAGGCGGUGAUUCAAGUCAGAGGUGAAAGCCUGGAGCUCAACUCCAGAACUGCCUUUGAAACUAGAUCGCUAGAAUUGUGGAGAGGUUAGUGGAAUUCCGAGUGUAGAGGUGAAAUUCGUAGAUAUUCGGAAGAACACCAGUGGCGAAGGCGACUAACUGGACACAUAUUGACGCUGAGGUACGAAAGCGUGGGGAGCAAACAGGAUUAGAUACCCUUGU